AGACGUCUACAUUAGAUACCCGUGUAGUCCCAGCCGUAAACUAUGCGCGUUAGGUGUAUCGGUGACCACGAGUCACCGAGGUGCCGAAGGGAAACCGUGAAACGUGCCGCCUGGGAAGUACGGUCGCAAGGCUGAAACUCAAAGGAAUUGGCGGGGAGCACCACAACGGGUGGAGCCUGCGGUUUAAUUGGACUCAACGCCGGGAAGCUCACCGGAUAAGACAGCGGAAUGAUUGCCGGGCUGAAGACUCUGCAUGACUAGCUG
This 264-nucleotide ribosomal RNA is filed under the name uncultured archaeon. RNAcentral's name for it is "partial 16S ribosomal RNA". It matches the Rfam family "Archaeal small subunit ribosomal RNA", at positions 717 to 982 of the family's 1478-position model. The record is from RNAcentral.